UACGUAGGCAGCAAGCGUUGUUCGGAAUUACUGGGCGUAAAGAGUGUGUAGGUGGUGUCGUAAGUUUGGUGUGAAAUCUCCCGGCUUAACUGGGAGGGUGCGCCGAAGACUGCGAUGCUGGAGUAUCGGAGAGGUGGGUGGAAUUCUCGGUGUAGAGGUGAAAUUCGUAGAUAUCGAGAGGAACACCGGCGGCGAAGGCGGCCCACUGGACGAAUACUGACGCUGAGACACGAAAGCGUGGGGAGCAAACAGG
This 253-nucleotide ribosomal RNA is filed under the name uncultured bacterium. RNAcentral's name for it is "partial 16S ribosomal RNA". It matches the Rfam family "Bacterial small subunit ribosomal RNA", at positions 524 to 776 of the family's 1533-position model. The record is from RNAcentral.